UACGGAAGGCAGCAGUGGGGAAGUAUUGCACAAUGGGCGCAAGCCUGAUGCAGCCAUGCCGCGUGUAUGAAGAAGGCCUUCGGGUUGUAAAGUACUUUCAGUCGUGAGGAAGGUGUUAAGGUUAAUAACCUUAGCAAUUGACGUUAGCGACAGAAGAAGCACCGGCUAACUCCGUGCCAGCAGCCGCGGUAAUACGGAGGGUGCGAGCGUUAAUCGGAAUUACUGGGCGUAAAGGGCACGCAGGCGGUUAAUUAAGUUGGAUGUGAAAUCCCCGGGCUUAACCUGGGAAUGGCAUUCAAGACUGGUUAGCUAGAGUCUUGUAGAGGGGGUAGAAUUCCAUGUGUAGCGGUGAAAUGCGUAGAGAUGUGGAGGAAUACCGGUGGCGAAGGCGGCCCCCUGGACAAAGACUGACGCUCAUGUGCGAAAGCGUGGGGAGCAAACAGGGAUUAGAUACC
Molecule: ribosomal RNA, 455 nt
Filed under: uncultured bacterium
Lineage: Bacteria
Description: bacterial SSU rRNA
Rfam family: Bacterial small subunit ribosomal RNA
Source: RNAcentral